Molecule: RNA transcript, 1720 nt
Organism: Cucumis melo (muskmelon)
Lineage: Eukaryota; Viridiplantae; Streptophyta; Magnoliopsida; Cucurbitales; Cucurbitaceae
Exons: 10
Source: RefSeq, a predicted model, not a curated record
CAAUGCAAAACAUUUGAAACAAAAAAUCUGUUGGAUAAUCAGUUCCUUCUUCACUCUUCCUCUUGAGCGUCUCAUCAAUGGCUACCAUUACCAACCUCUCUCUCUCAUACAUCCCUCGUUUUCCUCAUCCACCAACAAUUUUUCACACAACAUUCCAAACUCUUCCUCUCUUCACCCUUCCCCCGCUGUGUUCAUCUUCAUCCUUCGACAAUCAACUUCGCAACAGCAUUUCAAGCUACAGAUUACGAUCCCCAGCUAUUCGUGCAAUCAAUCAGGAAGUUGUUCAGACUCCAAGUUCAGAAUCGACCCGUGACUCGAAAAUUGAUCCUGUUGCUUCUUCUAAACUCGUCCUUGUCGUCGGAGGCUCCGGCGGCGUCGGACAGUUGGUGGCAGCAGCUUUGCUUGACCGGAAUGUCAAAUUACGCCUCUUACUGCGAGAUCCGGAGAAAGCAACUACAUUAUUUGGUGAACAAGAUGAAAAUUUGUUACAGGUAUGCAAAGGCGACACAAGGAACCCAGAAGACCUAGAUCCAUCUAUAUUUGAGGGUGUCACACAUGUGAUUUGCUGCACAGGAACGACAGCCUUCCCUUCAAGACGAUGGGAUGGGGACAACACUCCUGAAAGAGUAGAUUGGGAGGGUGUGAGAAACCUCAUAUCAGCAAUUCCUCGAUCAGUAAAGAGAGUAGUUCUUGUUUCAUCGAUAGGUGUAACCAAAUUCAAUGAAUUACCGUGGAGCAUUAUGAAUCUUUUUGGUGUUCUCAAAUACAAAAAGCAAGGGGAGGAUUUUCUUCGCGACUCAGGACUUCCGUUCACAAUUAUCAGAGCUGGUAGGUUGACUGAUGGACCAUACACCUCGUAUGAUCUUAAUACUUUGCUCAAAGCUACAGCAGGGCAGAGGCGUGCUGUCCUCCUUGGUCAAGGCGAUAAACUCGUUGGAGAAGCCAGCAGGAUUGUGGUUGCUGAAGCUUGCAUACAGGCUCUAGACAUCAACUUCACUGAAGGACAGGCUUACGAAAUUAACUCUAUUGAGGGUGAAGGUCCAGGAAAUGAUCCCAAAAAAUGGAGUGAACUAUUCAGAGCAGCUGGCACACAGUGAUUACUUCUCCACAUAUCACUAACUUUCUACCCUUUACUGUAUAUGUCUUUCACUCUCUCCAAUCUCUUCUUCUCAUGCAGUACAAGAUGAUUCCAGUGAAGUAAGGAGGGCUUUAUCUGCAAUCAAAGCAGUCGCAAAAGAAAAUCCUUCGUUUACUGUGACUCAUGCCUCACUAAUUGGUCCAGCACUCGUGGAGUGUUUGAGAGACGGCAGUACUCCUGUAAGAUUAGCUGCAGAAAGAUGUGCUUUGCAUUGCUUCCAACUGACAAAAGGUAGUGAAAAUGUUCAGGCUGCUCAAAAGUUUAUCACAGGCCUUGAAGCUAGACAAUUAUCGAAGUUACCAGAGCAGAGCUACGAUAGCAAAGACAGUGAUGCAGAAUCUGCUAGCGGUUAAUUAUCUACGAAUAUUUUCCUUUUCCCAUGGGACAGAAUUAAUAGACCAGAAUUUUAAUGAGCAGAUACCAUUUACGAAAGGUUUCUUAUUUAUACGAAAAGGCCAACGCCCAUUUUUGUCGUCUGGGUGUAGUUUAUGUUAGAUGUAAUUAGCUCAAAUACAAACAUAUGUUGUAAUAUGUAUAAAAUGGGGGGAGGAAUAAGAGUUUUAUUAUUAAUUUUGGUUGUGA